AUACGUAGGUGGCAAGCGUUAUCCGGAUUUACUGGGUGUAAAGGGCGCGUAGGCGGGGACGCAAGUCAGAUGUGAAAUCUCCGGGCUUAACCCGGAAACUGCAUUUGAAACUGUGUCUCUUGAGUGUCGGAGAGGUAGAUGGAAUUCCUAGUGUAGCGGUGAAAUGCGUAGAUAUUAGGAGGAACACCAGUGGCGAAGGCGAUCUACUGGACGAUAACUGACGCUGAGGCGCGAAAGCGUGGGGAGCAAACAGGAUUAGAUACCCUGGUAGUCCACGCUGUAAACGAUGAAUACUAGGUGUGGGGGGACUGACCCCCUCCGUGCCGCAGUUAACACAAUAAGUAUUCCACCUGGGGAGUACGACCGCAAGGUUGAA
Molecule: ribosomal RNA, 376 nt
Filed under: uncultured bacterium
Lineage: Bacteria
Description: bacterial SSU rRNA
Rfam family: Bacterial small subunit ribosomal RNA
Source: RNAcentral